RNAcentral lists this transfer RNA (75 nucleotides) under Camelus bactrianus (Bactrian camel). It matches the Rfam family "tRNA". From Rfam's summary of the family: Transfer RNA (tRNA) molecules are approximately 80 nucleotides in length. Their secondary structure includes four short double-helical elements and three loops (D, anti-codon, and T loops). Further hydrogen bonds mediate the characteristic L-shaped molecular structure. tRNAs have two regions of fundamental functional importance: the anti-codon, which is responsible for specific mRNA codon recognition, and the 3' end, to which the tRNAs corresponding amino acid is attached (by aminoacyl-tRNA synthetases). tRNAs cope with the degeneracy of the genetic code in two manners: having more than one tRNA (with a specific anti-codon) for a particular amino acid; and 'wobble' base-pairing, i.e. permitting non-standard base-pairing at the 3rd anti-codon position. The record is from Rfam by way of RNAcentral. RNAcentral also lists the same sequence under 2 other names. Lineage: Eukaryota; Metazoa; Chordata; Mammalia; Artiodactyla; Camelidae.
GAGGGUAUAGCUCAGUGGUAGAGAGCACUGUGCUUAGUAUGCACAAGGUCCUGGGUUCAAUCCCCAGUACCUCCA